RNAcentral lists this ribosomal RNA (497 nucleotides) under uncultured bacterium. Its description in RNAcentral is "partial 16S ribosomal RNA". It matches the Rfam family "Bacterial small subunit ribosomal RNA", at positions 28 to 507 of the family's 1533-position model. The record is from RNAcentral.
GAUGAACGCUGGCGGCGUGCCUAAUACAUGCAAGUCGAGCGAACGGACGCUAAGCUUGCUUCUCUUAUGUUAGCGGCGGACGUGUGAGUAACACGUGUAUACCCUACCUAUAAUACUGUGAUAACUUCGGGAAACCGGAGCUAAUACCUGAUGAUGUUUUGAACCUCAUGUUUCAAAAGUGACAUACGGUCUUGCUGUCUCUUAUAGAUGGAUCCGCGCUGCAUUAGCUAGUUGGUAAGGUAACGGCUUACCAAGGCAACGAUGCAUAGCCGACCUGAGAGGGUGAUAGGCCACACGGGAACUGAGACACGGUCAAGACUCCUAAGGGAGGCAGAAGUAGGGAAUCGUACGAAAUGGGCGAAAGCCUGACGGAGCAACGCAGCGUGAGUGAUGAAGGUCUGAGGAUAGUAAAACUCGGUUAUGAGGGAAGAACAUAUGUGUAAGUAACUGUGCACAUAUUGACGGUACAUAAUAAGAAAGCCACGGCUAACUACGUG